This 794-nucleotide ribosomal RNA is filed under the name uncultured bacterium. RNAcentral's name for it is "bacterial SSU rRNA". It matches the Rfam family "Bacterial small subunit ribosomal RNA", at positions 59 to 865 of the family's 1533-position model. The record is from RNAcentral.
CAGUCGACGAUUAAAGCACCUUUACGGUGUGUAUAAAGUGGCGAACGGCUGAGUAACACGUGGGCAACCUGCCCUUUGCACUGGGAUAGCCUCGGGAAACCGAGGUUAAUACCGGAUACUCCAUAUAUAUCGCAUGAUGUAUAUGGGAAAGCUCCGGCGGCAAAGGAUGGGCCCGCGGCCUGUUAGCUAGUUGGUGGGGUAACGGCCUACCAAGGCAAUGAUGGGUAGCCGGGUUGAGAGACCGACCGGCCAGAUUGGGACUGAGACACGGCCCAGACUCCUACGGGAGGCAGCAGUGGGGAAUCUUGCACAAUGGGCGAAAGCCUGAUGCAGCGACGCCGCGUGCGGGAUGAAGGCCUUCGGGUUGUAAACCGCUUUCAGCAGGGACGAGGCCGCAAGGUGACGGUACCUGCAGAAGAAGCCCCGGCUAACUACGUGCCAGCAGCCGCGGUAAUACGUAGGGGGCAAGCGUUAUCCGGAUUCAUUGGGCGUAAAGCGCGCGUAGGCGGUUUGUUAGGUCAGGAGUUAAAUCUGGGGGCUCAACCCCUAUCCGCUCCUGAUACCGGCAGGCUUGAGUCUGGUAGGGGAAGGCGGAAUUCCAAGUGUAGCGGUGAAAUGCGCAGAUAUUUGGAAGAACACCGGUGGCGAAGGCGGCCUUCUGGGCCACGACUGACGCUGAGGCGCGAAAGCUAGGGGAGCGAACAGGAUUAGAUACCCUGGUAGUCCUAGCCGUAAACGAUGGACACUAGGUGUGGGGAGAUUAUACUUUCCGUGCCGCAGCCAACGCAUUAAGU